This 365-nucleotide ribosomal RNA is filed under the name Escherichia coli. Its description in RNAcentral is "partial 23S ribosomal RNA". It matches the Rfam family "Bacterial large subunit ribosomal RNA", at positions 160 to 563 of the family's 2925-position model. Lineage: Bacteria; Pseudomonadati; Pseudomonadota; Gammaproteobacteria; Enterobacterales; Enterobacteriaceae. The record is from RNAcentral.
GAAUCCAUAGGUUAAUGAGGCGAACCGGGGGAACUGAAACAUCUAAGUACCCCGAGGAAAAGAAAUCAACCGAGAUUCCCCCAGUAGCGGCGAGCGAACGGGGAGGAGCCCAGAGCCUGAAUCAGUGUGUGUGUUAGUGGAAGCGUCUGGAAAGGCGUGCGAUACAGGGUGACAGCCCCGUACACAAAAAUGCACAUAUUGUGAGCUCGAUGAGUAGGGCGGGACACGUGGUAUCCUGUCUGAAUAUGGGGGGACCAUCCUCCAAGGCUAAAUACUCCUGACUGACCGAUAGUGAACCAGUACCGUGAGGGAAAGGCGAAAAGAACCCCGGCGAGGGGAGUGAAAAAGAACCUGAAACCGUGUAC